This is a transfer RNA of Felis catus (domestic cat), 85 nucleotides long. It matches the Rfam family "tRNA". Rfam says of the family: Transfer RNA (tRNA) molecules are approximately 80 nucleotides in length. Their secondary structure includes four short double-helical elements and three loops (D, anti-codon, and T loops). NCBI's taxonomy places the organism in Eukaryota, Metazoa, Chordata, Mammalia, Carnivora, Felidae. The record is from Rfam.
ACCUGGGUAGCUCAGUCGGUUGAGUGUCUGACUUCAGCUCAGGUCAUGAUCUCACCGUUUGUGGGUUUGAGCCCUGCAUCAGGCU